ACAGAACAGUUAUAGUGGGAGGGGCGCACCCAGCGCAGGCCAACCCUUUAUAGCGUGAUGAUAUUAGUUAUUAGUUGUGCACGCAUCCUUCACGUGAGUACUCCAGUGGAAAAAAAAACCUGCGUGCCUCUGUCAUUGGGUAGGAGCGGAGCCAUGACGUGUGCACGCUGCCGUCACAUGCUUACUCCAGUUAAAAAAAAAAAAAUUGUGUUCAUUUAAAACUUGUUCUUUUAAAAACAUUAAAAAUGUUCUUUUGUGAUACUGUUCUUGUAUAGAAAUUUUUCUUUUGAACGGCUCUUUGAAAGGAACGGAUCGCGAAGAUCCGGAUCCCCUCAAAGAGCCAUAAAUCCCAUCACUAGUCACAACUCUAUUGAGUCGGUCAGUUUAGGCGAUUGAUGCUGGCGUGCUCUGACAGAACCUCGCACGGUUUUCAACGCGGAGUCUGUUUUGGAGUUAAUAUUUCUCAGGUAAAUGCGAAAUAAUGUUAUAUAAUCUUAUUUAUACACGUUUGACGCCAUGUUCGGUUAAUUUUGUUGAACUUGAUGUUCCCCCGCUAAAAAUGCUCGUGUCAGACUGGCUGGUGUAACGUACGUUGGCCUGCAGGAUGGAGCUGGCUAGAAUGUCUAUAGCUAACUUAAUAAAGGAGUGAAUACAAUUUGGUAUCGAAGUCACUGAAGAGGAGAGGAAAAAGUUUGAAGGAGAUUAAUGCUCUUGGAGAGGAUGCUACAUCAAUAGAGGGACAUGUGAAAGUCCUGCAGGACCAAUAUAGAAGGACACAGUCAGAGACUCACAUUGUGGAAGAUCGAAUGAGGAGGACCGCUUUUACUUUACUGAGUUUUUCAUUGAAGAGCUAGUUUUUUCUUGACAUGCUUGCUGUUGUGAGAUGUAAUGAAAUCUUUUUAAAAGAACAUUUCUAAAUAAAAUUGUAUAUUUGUAA
Cyprinus carpio (common carp) is the source of this 937-nucleotide long non-coding RNA. RefSeq lists it as uncharacterized. NCBI's taxonomy places the organism in Eukaryota, Metazoa, Chordata, Actinopteri, Cypriniformes, Cyprinidae. The record is from RefSeq and is a predicted model, not a curated record. The transcript is spliced from 2 exons.